UAGGGUCUUUUGAAUUGGCCGCUGAGACCAAAGGGGUGUUGGACUUGGAAGUGCUUUUGGUGCUGCCAGUUUGUCUACCCUGUUUUGGUGUUUAUUCUGAAAAAGGUAAUAUGUACCUUGUACUUCUUCUGUAAAAAUGUUUUAUUUUGUUGCUUGUGAACCUUUGCUGCCUUACUAAGUUAUUGUGAUUUUACUGCAGUGAAGUUUCUUGCAACUUUGAGGCUUCUGUUAACCACACUCAACCUUGCAAGAGCAACCUUCUUGAGGUCAGGCCUGUAGUAGUUAUCUGCCACUGGUUUUGAACAGCCUUAGCCAUCCUCCUAAACUCCUUCUUCAUCACAGAUUUAUGAAGCAAAGCGGACGGCUUGUUCUGCUUCCUUGGCUUGGAGAAAGUUAGCAGGCUUCAAGUUAGAGUGCACAAUACGUUCCUCGUGAAUUGUAUUGACAACUUGAAGAAUUUUCGGCCAAUAAAACCGAAGCCAGUUUUCAUCUAUCAUCUCGUUUGAUUCACUCAGCUUCUUCCACUGCUGCGACAACAUGUGAGCUAACUCAAUUUCACCGUAUUCAAACUCAGAGUCGGCACAAGAAUCAAAUGUUUGCACCACACUUGCAGCCUUAUCAACUGAUAAUUUAUUCGAUUUUUCGACACAAGUGUUUACAUUCGUUGAUUCCAUAACUCUUUCAGCUUCUUAGUAGCCUUCUCAGCGGAGGGUGUAGACCACUGACACGGGAG
This 733-nucleotide long non-coding RNA is filed under the name Lathyrus oleraceus (garden pea). RNAcentral describes it as "Pisum sativum (pea) long non-coding RNA (PSAT_LNC030513)". Lineage: Eukaryota; Viridiplantae; Streptophyta; Magnoliopsida; Fabales; Fabaceae. The record is from RNAcentral.